UCAGCUGUGUCUGGGGUGCUCUGCAGCUGAGGGGGAGAAGGAGCUGGGUUCUCAGGAGUUUCCUCUGUUUCUCCUUCUGGGUCUGCUGCUUCUGGGUCUGCUGCUGUUACUCCUGAGUCAUCCUUGUCUGAUGAGUCCUCUGAUGGGGCCAUGACAGUAUAGUAUUGUCUGCAUAAGUUAAAUGACUUUUUGCAUUCUUCCCUGAUAAUGUCACUGACUUCAAUCCAUAGUUCUUCUGGUUCUCUUUCAACUAAGUUCAAAGCCUCAGAGAGUAUGGAACUUCUCCAUCUUCUGCUACCAAUUAUGUAAUCAAUUUGAUUCCGAUAAUGACCAUUUGGUGAUGUCCACAUGUACAGUCAUCUUUUCAGUGGUGCAAAAAAUAUGUUUGCAAGAAACAAAUUAUUGGCUUCACAGAAUUCAGCAAUGUCGUCCUCAUCCAAGUGGAGCCCACACGUUAGCCCCAUCUAAUUUGGAUUUUCCUGAUCCACAAUGUGCGGGAGUCCAGGGCAGCAUGUUUUUCUUCAAGGUGCACUGCAGCUUUCUGGGUUUGGAGGGAGGAUCUGGAGAUCAGAGUUACCUCUGCCUGCCUGGCCAUCCUCUAUCCCGGCAAGAGGCUUCUCAAUGGACUACUGGCUGUCUAGCUGCCAGAGCCAC
Long non-coding RNA from Rhineura floridana, 654 nucleotides. RefSeq lists it as uncharacterized. The record is from RefSeq and is a predicted model, not a curated record. NCBI's taxonomy places the organism in Eukaryota, Metazoa, Chordata, Lepidosauria, Squamata, Rhineuridae. The transcript has 4 exons.